RNAcentral lists this unclassified non-coding RNA (294 nucleotides) under Trechisporales sp. Its description in RNAcentral is "partial contains 5.8S ribosomal RNA, internal transcribed spacer 2, and large subunit ribosomal RNA". The record is from RNAcentral. Lineage: Eukaryota; Fungi; Basidiomycota; Agaricomycetes; Trechisporales.
CGCACCUUGCGCUCCUUGGUAUUCCGAGGAGCAUGCCUGUUUGAGUGUCUUGAAGUCAUCAACCCCUUCCCUUGUUUUCGAGGGCGAGGGCGUUGGAACUGGGGGCGUGCCGCCGCAAGGCCGGCUCCCCUUAAAUGCAUCGGUUGGGCCUCUGGUCAAACUCGUCUGGGCGUUGUACCAUCCUCGCUCUCUCGACGGCCGCGUGCGCCCUUCCCCGACCUGCCACCUCGGAGCGGCGGUCAAACACCUUUGAAAUCUGACCUCAAAUCAGGUAGGACUACCCGCUGAACUUAA